This is a non-coding RNA of Camellia sinensis, 2104 nucleotides long. Lineage: Eukaryota; Viridiplantae; Streptophyta; Magnoliopsida; Ericales; Theaceae. The record is from RefSeq and is a predicted model, not a curated record.
AAAUAUGUCAUUUCCUUUCUCCCUCUAAUCAUUAGUUUUUUCCCAAAUUUUAGUUUGUUAUUUUUUGUUAUUUUCAUAUUGUGUUGUGUUUUUUUGUUGGUGGUCAUCAAUUUCUAGGUUCUCAAUAUAAUCAAAGGUACAACUCUCUCACACAAUUUUUCUUUAUUACAUCUGUUUCAUUACUUAUAUAAUUUUGAUAAAAGUUAAAUUGUUUGGUUUGUUACUUUUUUAGUUAUGUUUUAAACAAAGCUCCCUUUCCAUUUGCAUAAAAGAUAGGCAAAAUGGGACUAAUGAGCAGUAAACCAUGAUUAAAAAAAAAAAAUAGUAUUACUCAAACUUUUUGCUUUUAUUUGCUUUUUUCACUAGAUUAUUUUUCUUAAUAUUUCUUUUUUUCUUAUGGAGCUUAGUAAAGGGUGUUGUAGUAGUCUUUGUAGCUUUUUUGUUAGUGGUUUUGGUGAAUGUUAAAGUAGUGGAAUGAAAUUGAAUGGAUUAGUAUGACCUAUGCACUGUACACUAGAUUUCUUUUCCCCCCAUAAGAAAGUGUUGGCUUGGCCAUUACAUAUUUUGGGGAUUGUUGAGAGUGUGUGUUGAAAAUUUAAACCAAAAAGAAAAUGUGCAUAAUGAGGAUUGAAAAAAUUGAAAAAAGAAAGAAAAAGGAAGAUAAACAUAGAUAAAUCUAUUUAUUUAUUUUUUUUUUUGUGAACACACAGACUAAUCUUAGGUAACAAAAUGCCUUUCGUAAGACAAUAUACGCUGGUAAAUUUUGAGUUACUUUGGAAAUAACUUUGUACUUAGUUUUGGAAUCCCCUAUUGUCAAAAUAAAAAUUGAUGUCUAAUUGUCUUUUAAAUUGGUUUUUCAGGAUUUAUAAAUUUACAUUUUAUUUAAGAGAAAACUAAAGUUGUAGGUUCUUUUUUCCUCUCUAUUUCUGUCUUAUCUUUUUAACCUCUUGGAAUAUGAGGACAACAAAAUCGUGGUGUAGAGUUUUUGUUGUCCCAUUGUUCUUCUUGCCUGGUUUAGUUAGUAAAGGAAAACAAGUGUUUUCAUUUUUUGUCAAGUAGAUAAUAAAUGUAGUAAAACUAGAUAAGGAAAUAUGUGAAGAAAGCGAGUUGGACUGUGUGUGAUGGCAAGUGGUGUUUGAUAAAUGAUAGAUGCUUUUGAGUAGUUAGAAAGUUUAUUCCAUACUAUGUGAUGUUGAUUUGAAAAUACUGAACAUUAGACAUUUUUACUUUAAUCCAUCAAAUUUAACUUUAUUAUUAUUUUUCAAAUUUAAUUUUUAUUUUUUUUUUAAUUUCAGGUAUCGAUAUUAGAAUGGCUAUUGAACGACUUUCAAAUCCUUUUAACUUUGGCCAAUUUUUAGGGCAACAAUUUCAUUUUUAAAAUUGUCUUAGUUAAUAUAUUUGAUGGCUUCUUACGAAAAGUGCAAAAUAAAGGAGAAAUAAUCUUGGGAUUAAUCUUCUCCUGUCCAAUUUUAUUACGGGUAUACACUGUCAUCCCAACUUUAAUCUUGGGAUUAAUCUUGGGACAAAAUGUUUGGAGAUAUUGGGAUUAAUCUUGGGAUUAAUCCCAAUAUCAAUUUUAUAGCAAUUGUUAUCCCAACAUUAAUCUCAAAAUGUUGUCAUUGGGGUUUACCAUCGCAACAUCCCAACAUAGAUGGACAUGAGUGAUGACCCAUCACUACUGAUUGUCCUAUAUAUAAUGCAAAGGACUCCCAGAUUGGGGACACACUAAUAGACCUUUUUGAGACUCCUUUAGCUUUGCCAUUCUAUGUCAAUAACUCAAUUUUUUUUAAUGUUUUUUAAUUUCCCAACAGUGGCUUCAAGACGCAUCGUUCAACACCAAAAUAGAGGACACAGUGCUUCCCUUUUGCAAUAGUCAGCCUUCUAUUUGACAUGUAAUUUUAUAGAGAUAUGUCCAAUUUUGGAGUUAAUAAUAAUGUAUUUUGGAGUUGAGCCCAUCUCAAACUCAAUUAAACAAUGGACGUUUUAUUUCUAGGCUUUUAAGUCUGUAGAAAAUUUGUCAAAAACUUACUAAAUAGGUUUUUGUUUUCAAGCUUCUUUUUUUCUCCUUCCUUGAAAGUUCAAACAUUGAGUUUGCAUUUGCUUU